UCCUAGGAGUUGACCAGUAGUGUGCAGCUGCAGAUGUUUCCACGUAGAGCAGACACAUCAAAUAAUUCCCUGUCUGGAGCGCUUUCUCUAGUGAAGAAGCAUUCAGUUCAAGGCUCAGAGGGAGGAAACAAAGAAACAGAAGACAAGAAAGUAAAUAAAAGCAAAGAUGAGGACUUUUGCUGGCCCCUGUGGGUUCACAGUCCUGUGGGUACACAAGCAGAGGGUAUGAAGAAAAAGGCACUGCUUCCUGAUGACAGCAACCCUAUUCCAAGUUGCGUGACUUGGCAUCAGAGGGUGGGCUACUACCAUUCUUCCCUCAGCGCAAGGCUUUUGCAC
Molecule: long non-coding RNA, 336 nt
Organism: Bos taurus (domestic cattle)
Lineage: Eukaryota; Metazoa; Chordata; Mammalia; Artiodactyla; Bovidae
Source: Ensembl